Long non-coding RNA from Ictalurus punctatus (channel catfish), 479 nucleotides. Lineage: Eukaryota; Metazoa; Chordata; Actinopteri; Siluriformes; Ictaluridae. The record is from Ensembl.
CGCUGCUCUCAGCGCCAGGCGGAGCGGCGAGAAACAACGCACGAGCUCAACCCAAAUCAUGGACUAAAUUGCCAAGCCAUUGAAGAUUCACCAGACAAACUCCUUAUUGGUAUUUAUUUUGGGUUUAAUCCAGGUGCGUCCAGCUGUGUCCUGUAUCUUUUUGUCUCAACACAACAUGCUGCGUGUUCUGGGUGCUGUAUGCUUGAAGAUGUCUAAUGCUGCUUGUGUGGUUGUUGGACCGUAUCUGCUUAGUAGUGUGUAAAUACCAGGAAGGCUCUCAAGCUCUUAGCAACCUCUCACAGUGGCAUUUCAUAAUGUUUACUGGUUACAAAGGCAGCCGAACAGAUGAUCCUGACAGCGGCCUCUCUGAUUCACUACCACCCCUUCAACUGUUCAUUACAGGUUUUCUUACCAGCAGUUAAAUUGGCACUAAAAGUUCCCGGGUCCCCCUUGUGCCACCAAAACAUCUCUGACCUGUC